AGCAUUAUUACCGCCAUUCCUCAUUUGGCGGGCUAGCUGGCAGCUGCACCGAACCCGCCCUCGUGGCGGGUUUU
Molecule: small RNA, 74 nt
Filed under: Pseudomonas sp. M47T1
Lineage: Bacteria; Pseudomonadati; Pseudomonadota; Gammaproteobacteria; Pseudomonadales; Pseudomonadaceae
Description: Pseudomonas sRNA P9
Rfam family: Pseudomonas sRNA P9
About the family: P9 appears to be conserved in several Pseudomonas species in addition to Bordetella spp. In both Pseudomonas and Bordetella spp P9 appears to be located upstream of a predicted threonine dehydratase gene.
Source: Rfam by way of RNAcentral